RNAcentral lists this ribosomal RNA (368 nucleotides) under uncultured organism. Its description in RNAcentral is "bacterial SSU rRNA". It matches the Rfam family "Bacterial small subunit ribosomal RNA", at positions 526 to 896 of the family's 1533-position model. The record is from RNAcentral.
CGUAGGUGGCAAGCGUUGUCCGGAUUUAUUGGGUUUAAAGGGUGCGUAGGCGGUCUAUUAAGUCAGUGCUGAAAUAUCCCGGCUUAACCGGGAGGGUGGCAUUGAUACUGAUGGACUUGAGUGCAGUCGAGGUAGGCGGGAUUGACGGUGUAGCGGUGAAAUGCUUAGAUAUCGUCAAGAACACCGAUAGUGUAGACAGCUUACUAGGCUGUAACUGACGCUGAGGCACGAAAGUGUGGGGAUCAAACAGGAUUAGAUACCCUGGUAGUCCACACUGUAAACGUUGAUGACUCGCUGUUUGCGAUAUACAGUAAGCGGCUUAGAGAAAUCGUUAAGUCAUCCACCUGGGGAGUACGCCGGCAACGGUG